UCGAGAAUUUUUCACAAUGGGGGAAACCCUGAUGGAGCGACGCCGCGUGGAGGAUGAAGGUCUUCGGGUUGUAAACUCCUGUCAUGCGGGAACAAGCAAGUGAUAGUACCGCAAGAGGAAGAGACGGCUAACUCUGUGCCAGCAGCCGCGGUAAUACAGAGGUCUCAAGCGUUGUUCGGAUUCAUUGGGCGUAAAGGGUGCGUAGGUGGUGGCGCAAGUCUGGUGUGAAAUCUCGGAGCUUAACUCCGAAAUUGCACCGGAUACUGCGUGACUCGAGGACUGUAGAGGAGAUCGGAAUUCACGGUGUAGCAGUGAAAUGCGUAGAUAUCGUGAGGAAGACCAGUUGCGAAGGCGGAUCUCUGGGCAGUUCCUGACACUGAGGCACGAAGGCCAGGGGGAGCAAACGGGGAUUAGAUACCCCGGUAGUCCUGGCAGUAAACGGUGCACGUUUGGUGUGGGCGAGUUCAGACCCCGUCGUGCCGGAGCUAACG
This 491-nucleotide ribosomal RNA is filed under the name uncultured Verrucomicrobiota bacterium. RNAcentral's name for it is "bacterial SSU rRNA". It matches the Rfam family "Bacterial small subunit ribosomal RNA", at positions 355 to 857 of the family's 1533-position model. Lineage: Bacteria; Pseudomonadati; Verrucomicrobiota. The record is from RNAcentral.